Molecule: ribosomal RNA, 458 nt
Filed under: uncultured bacterium
Lineage: Bacteria
Description: partial 16S ribosomal RNA
Rfam family: Bacterial small subunit ribosomal RNA
Source: RNAcentral
CCUACGGGAGGCAGCAGUGGGGAAUAUUGCACAAUGGGGGAAACCCUGAUGCAGCGACGCCGCGUGAGGGAAGAAGUAUUUCGGUAUGUAAAGCUCUAUCAGCAGGGAAGAAAUAGCGACCUUUGGGUCGCCAGACGGUACCUGACUCAGAAGCCCAGCCUAACUACGUGCCAGCAGCCGCGGUAAUACGUAGGGGGCAAGCGGUAUCCGAAUUUACUGGGUGUAAAGGGAGCGUAGACGGCAGGACAAGUCUGAAGGGAAAUGCCGGGGCUUAACCCCGGAACUGCUUUGGAAACUGUGCAGCUAGAGUGCAGGAGAGGUAAGUGGAAUUCCUAGUGUAGCGGUGAAAUGCGUAGAUAUUAGGAGGAACACCAGUGGCGAAGGCGGCUUACUGGACUGUAACUGACGUUGAGGCUCGAAAGCGUGGGGAGCAAACAGGAUUAGAUACCCGAGUAGUC